Long non-coding RNA from Daphnia pulex (common water flea), 418 nucleotides. RefSeq lists it as uncharacterized. The record is from RefSeq and is a predicted model, not a curated record. The transcript is spliced from 4 exons. Lineage: Eukaryota; Metazoa; Arthropoda; Branchiopoda; Diplostraca; Daphniidae.
GGCAAAAUAGGCGAAGCAAUUGGUUGCUAAUUUUAUUUAUAUUCCUGUGAAUUCAUAUACCAAAUUGAACUUCGUAACUCACACAUGCAUACUGUCAGUCAUUCCAACAAGUUGACUUACCGUUCAGUCACUUUCCAUCCAAUAGACCCAUCAUGCUGUCACAAGCCUAAAACUAAUGUUUGAAGCUAACAUAUAGUGGAAUACAAAUCUGCGGAGUUAAGGAUCUUUUCUGAAUCUCGCAAUUUUGGUGGUGUAACCUGCAACAUUAUGUUUGUCGUUAUGACUGUUUUUACUUUGGUUUAGAAGGCAACCCAGCUAAGUGAAUAACCCGCCAUGUGUAUGUUGUACAUGUACCACUGUACCAGAUCUGCUGCUUGAUGAAAGAAAUGCCUUACUAAAUUCAUCAACCAUAUGAAAG